RNAcentral lists this ribosomal RNA (1457 nucleotides) under metagenome. RNAcentral describes it as "bacterial SSU rRNA". It matches the Rfam family "Bacterial small subunit ribosomal RNA". The record is from RNAcentral.
GCGGCGCGUUUUAAGCAUGCAAGUCGAACGGUAAUAGGGUGCUUGCACUCUAUGAGAGUGGCGAACGGGUGAGUAACACGUAGGUAAUCUACCUUGAGGUUGGGGAUAGCCUGUGGAAACACAGGGUAAUACCGAAUGUCCUCAUUUCGGCGAGGAAAGAGGCUAAGGCCUCGCUUUGGGAUGAGCCUGCGGCUCAUUAGCUAGUUGGUGGGGUAAAGGCCUACCAAGGCGACGAUGAGUAGCCGACCUGAGAGGGUGACCGGCCACACUGGGACUGAGACACGGCCCAGACUCCUACGGGAGGCAGCAGCUAAGAAUCUUCCGCAAUGGCCGAAAGGCUGACGGAGCGACGCCGCGUGGACGAUGAAGGCCGGAAGGUUGUAAAGUCCUUUUAUUGGAGAAGAAUAAUGCGGGGAGGGAAUGCCCUGCAGAUGACGUUAUCCUAUGAAUAAGCCCCGGCUAAUUACGUGCCAGCAGCCGCGGUAACACGUAAGGGGCAAGCGUUGUUCGGAAUUAUUGGGCGUAAAGGGCGCGUAGGCGGCUAUGAAAGUCUGGUGUGAAAGGCCACCGCUUAACGGUGGGAGUGCACUGGAAACUACAUGGCUAGAGUUCAAGAGGGGAAGCUGGAAUUCCUGGUGUAGGGGUGAAAUCUGUAGAUAUCAGGAAGAACACCUGUGGCGAAGGCGAGCUUCUGGCUAUGAACUGACGCUGAGGCGCGAAAGCGUGGGGAGCGAACAGGAUUAGAUACCCUGGUAGUCCACGCUGUAAACGAUGUGCACUAGGUGUUGGCUGUUGUAACGGUCAGUGCUGAAGCAAACGCGAUAAGUGCACCGCCUGGGGAGUAUGCUCGCAAGGGUGAAACUCAAAGGAAUUGACGGGGGCCCGCACAAGCGGUGGAGCAUGUGGUUUAAUUCGAUACGCGAGGAACCUUACCAGGGCUUGACAUAUGCAUGACGAUCAUAGAGAUAUGGUUUCCCUUCGGGGCGUGUAUACAGGUGCUGCAUGGUUGUCGUCAGCUCGUGCUUUGAGGUGUUGGGUUAAGUCCCGCAACGAGCGCAACCCCUGCUGUCUGUUGCCAGCAUUUCGGAUGGGGACUCAGACGGUACUGCCGGUGACAAACCGGAGGAAGGUGGGGAUGACGUCAAAUCAUCAUGGCCCUUAUGUCCUGGGCUACACACGUGCUACAAUGGUUGGUACAGAGCGGUGCAAAACCGCGAGGUGGAGCAAAUCGCAGAAAGCCGGCCUCAGUACGGAUUGGAGUCUGAAACUCGACUUCAUGAAGUUGGAAUCGCUAGUAAUCGCGCAUCAGCAUGGCGCGGUGAAUACGUUCCCGGGCCUUGUACACACCGCCCGUCACACCACCCGAGUUGGGGGUACCCGAAGUCGCUCGUCUAACCGGUUACGGAGGACGGUGCCGAAGGUAUGCCUGGUAAGGGGGGUGAAGUCGUAACAAGGUA